UACGGGAGGCAGCAGUGGGGAAUAUUGCACAAUGGGCGCAAGCCUGAUGCAGCCAUGCCGCGUGUAUGAAGAAGGCCUUCGGGUUGUAAAGUACUUUCAGUCGUGAGGAAGGUGUUAAGGUUAAUAACCUUAGCAAUUGACGUUAGCGACAGAAGAAGCACCGGCUAACUCCGUGCCAGCAGCCGCGGUAAUACGGAGGGUGCGAGCGUUAAUCGGAAUUACUGGGCGUAAAGGGCACGCAGGCGGUUAAUUAAGUUGGAUGUGAAAUCCCCGGGCUUAACCUGGGAAUGGCAUUCAAGACUGGUUAGCUAGAGUCCUGUAGAGGGGGUAGAAUUCCAUGUGUAGCGGUGAAAUGCGUAGAGAUGUGGAGGAAUACCGGUGGCGAAGGCGGCCCCUGGACAAAGACUGACGCUCAUGUGCGAAAGCGUGGGGAGCAAACAGGGAUUAGAUA
This 451-nucleotide ribosomal RNA is filed under the name uncultured bacterium. RNAcentral describes it as "bacterial SSU rRNA". It matches the Rfam family "Bacterial small subunit ribosomal RNA", at positions 340 to 784 of the family's 1533-position model. The record is from RNAcentral.